This 74-nucleotide transfer RNA is filed under the name Aestuariispira insulae. It matches the Rfam family "tRNA". From Rfam's summary of the family: Transfer RNA (tRNA) molecules are approximately 80 nucleotides in length. Their secondary structure includes four short double-helical elements and three loops (D, anti-codon, and T loops). Lineage: Bacteria; Pseudomonadati; Pseudomonadota; Alphaproteobacteria; Rhodospirillales; Aestuariispiraceae. The record is from Rfam by way of RNAcentral.
CGGGGUAUGGCGCAGUCUGGUAGCGCACCUGCUUUGGGAGCAGGGGGUCCGAGGUUCGAAUCCUCGUGCCCCGA